AGCGCAGGCGGGAAGACAAGUUGGAAGUGAAAUCUAUGGGCUCAACCCAUAAACUGCUUUCAAAACUGUUUUUCUUGAGUAGUGCAGAGGUAGGCGGAAUUCCCGGUGUAGCGGUGGAAUGCGUAGAUAUCGGGAGGAACACCAGUGGCAAAGGCGGCCUACUGGGCACCAACUGACGCUGAGGCUCGAAAGUGUGGGUAGCAAACA
Molecule: ribosomal RNA, 207 nt
Filed under: uncultured bacterium
Lineage: Bacteria
Description: partial 16S ribosomal RNA
Rfam family: Bacterial small subunit ribosomal RNA
Source: RNAcentral